AGACAUCGCUGCGGCCGGGAUAGGGCGCCGCCGUUCUGGCCGGCUUUCUCGGUGCCCUGGAGGACCUGGCCGGCUCCGCGGGAAGCUGUACUCAGAGCGCGCGGCCGCCCUCUGGCAGGGAGGAGUUCGUUGCACUUUUGAGGGUUCUUCACGAAGACAUCCAAUACAUAGAAAACAAGUAACAGCAACAGUAACGAAUUUUUAAAUAUUAAAAUUGCUGGGGAACACGACGGAUCCUGCAGCUGCUCGGCUGUCCCGGUCGUCAGUGACGCUAGGGCUCCGCACCGUACCCUGCAUACCGUAGGUGCUCACGAAACGUUCGUGAGUUCCCUGCUCUGAGGAAACAAGCUUAAAAACUCAGAAUCUAAGGUGUGAGUCUCCGCAAACCUGCUUGUUGGGCAGCGUCCCCCGCCCGGGCUAGCCCUGCACGCCCCACCCCGGAGCCACGCUUCUCCAGCCGGGACCCCUGCCUCCUUCCAGGCUAUUCUCGGAACCGCAGCCAGAGGGAAUUUUUUUUUCCUUUCCUGAAACGUAGAGCAGAUCUGGUUACUCUUCUGCACAACGCCCUAAAAUCUAGGGCCCUUCCCAUCCCUCAGAAUUUACAUCUAAUUCUCAGCUCCCCUCCGGCUUGCUGUAGCCAUCCUGGCUUUUGUUUAGCACAGCACUUACUGUUAGUGACAUUAUAUUGUAUAUUAUUAACAUAUUUGUGUUUUACAUCCCUCACUAGACCCCCAGGAAAGAGGCUUUGAUGUGUUGCCUGCUGCAAGGCUGGCUGCAUAAUUUGUGGAGCUCAGAGAAAAGUGCGGAGCUUCCUUGUUCAAAAAACAGAAAGAAAGUGCCUCUGAGGUCAUAAAAUAUAAAACUUUCUCUUUCCUCUCAGUUUCUCUCUUUUCAUAGUGUUUUUAUGUGUUAUUUAAUAUCAUUCCAAGAAAAAUUUAGAUUUAAAUUGUUAGCAUGAAGUUCACCAUCCAUCUUUACGUUGUGCAAUGCCAGUUUUAAAUACUAAUAUAAGUGCACUGAUCUCAUAUGUGGAAUCACAGAAAUUAUGCAAUUUGUACUUCAUAGCUUAUACAUGCAUAUAGAUUUUGUUUUUACCAGAACCACGCUGGUAAAAACAGAUGCUGCACAAAGUGAACUUGCCCGUUUUCAUCGCACUUUACGUGCACGAAUUCUACCUCUACUCUCGACCUGGGACUCACCGAUGCGUAAGGAAGGACUGAAAAGCAAAAGAACUAUGGACUGGCCUUUUGGCAUGAUCAGGUGUCUAAUAUAAAGAAGUGCAUGAAUAAGAAAAUAUAUGAUAUGAGUGAUGGUUAAUACUGACUGUCAACUUGAUUGGAUUGAAGGAUGCAAAGUAUUGAUCCUGGGUGUGUCUGUGAGGGUGUUGCCAAAGGAGAUUAACAUUUGAGUCAGUGGGCUGGGAAAGUUCGACCCACUGUUAAUCUAGAUGGACACCAUCUAAUCAGAUGCCAGUGCAGCUAGAAAUGUAAAGCAGACAGAAAAAUGCGAAAAGAGAGACUGGCCUAGCCUGCCAGCCUACAUCUUUCUCCCACGCUGGAUGCUUCCUGCCCUCGAACAUCAGACUCCAAGUUCUUCAGUUUGGGACUUGGACUGGCUCUCCUUGUUCCUCAGCUUGAAGACUGCCCAUUGUGGGACUUGUGAUCAUGUGCCAUGAUAAAUAAGCCAGUUUGAGUCACUUGGUCUAAUAUCGAGACCACGAACAUAUUGAUCACAGAAUGUGUUAGGUAAGCAUGUUGUUGACUGAAGUGUAAGUAAGGUGCUCACCUUAAAUGCAUGUGCCAACAUCAGCAUCUUCAGAAGAGUCUCUUUCCCUUUGGGACAUCGAGGUGACUGACAGUUAAACAAGCCGUAUUUGGAGUAGGUGUACAAUCAGCCUCCUUCCAGUUCUCCUUGGCACUUUCCAGUUCACAAAGGACACUUCACUCCUUUUUGGUUUUUUUGAGACAGGGUCUCACUCUGUCACCCAGGCUAGAGUACGGUGGUGAGAUCACCCCUCACUGCAACCUCCGUCUCCUGGGCUCAAGUGAUCCUCCCACCUCAGCCUCCCAAGUAGCUGGUACCACAGGUGCAUGCCACCACACCUGGCUGAUUUUUGUAUUUUGUGUAGAAGGGGGUAUUGCCCUAUCGCCUAGGCUGGAAGGCUGUUAAGAGGAGAACUGAGCAAUGAGGAUCCCAUCCUGGACUUCGCAGACUUGCUGUGCUUUUGAAUGCUUCUCUCACGGUCAGAGCCUGCACUGGAAAAGAUGGCAUUUGGGACAACACACCUGGCUGCUGCCCCAGGAAGAAAGUAGUGAACACUGGAGGACUGUCAGCCCUGUCAGUUUCUGGAAAUGUGCCCUGAGUUUAAGUUCUGGUUUCAGAUUAUGAGGAGCAAAAUUACUGAGUAGGCCUCCUCCUAGAACAGGAAGCUCUUCCCGCUGUGGGCCAGUGGCUCUGACAUAUCACAGAGCCUGCUCUGAUGAAGGCAGCAGGAAUGAUUUCAAAACAAGCAAAACCAAAGAAAACUGUUUGACAAUGGAAGUAAUAGAGGCUCAUUUUAGAAAACAUAGACAUAAAGAAAAAAAGAAGAAUCUUCCAUAACCCACAGAUUAUAACUACUUACAUACCUUCCAGGCUUUAUUUCUCUUUUUUAAAAAACAAAUGUUAAAGUGGAAUUUACCUAUAAAAAAGAUACAGGUCCUAAGAGCACAGCUUGGCUUGAUCAAUUUUCUCAAGUUGAAUGCACCUGUGCAAUCAGUGCCAGGCUGAACACACAGCCUCAGCAGCGCCUGGAAGCUUUUCCAAGCCUCCUUAUUGUCAUCCCUCCCUCCCCAGGGGUAGCUGCGAUCACUGUAGCUUUGGUCUGAACUAUAUAUAAAUGCAAUCAUGCCACGUUAUGUUUCUGAGACUCACCCACACCCUGGCAAGCCAUUGCAGUUUGUUUAUUCUCAAUGUUCUACAAGCAGCAGUCCCCAAGCUUUUUGGCACCGGGGACCAGUCUCAUGGAGGACGAUUUUUCCGCAGACCAGGUGGGGAUGGUUUUGGAAUGAUUCAAGCACAUUCCAUUUAUUGUGCACUUUAUUUCUAUUACUGUUGCAUUGUAAUAUAUAAUGAAAUAAUUAUAUAACUCACCAUAAUGUAGAAUCAGUGGGAACCCUGAGCUUGUUUUCCCCCAUCUAGAUGGUUUCAUCUAGGGGUGGGGGGAUGAAAGACAGUGACAGAUUAUCAGGUAUUAGAUUCUCAUAAGAAGCUUGCAACCUGGAUUCUUCGCAUGCUUAGUUCACAGUAGGGUUCACGCUCCUAUGAGAAUCUAAUGCUGCCACAGAACUGACAGGAGGCAGAGCUCAGAUGGUAAUGCUCACUUGCCCACUGCUCACCUCCUGCUGUGCAGCCCUGUUCCUUACAGGCCAUGGACUGGUACCACACAACUAUUUGGCCAUAGCUACAAAAGCUGAUUACAGGUGUAAUUACAGAUUACAUCACUAUUACAUAGCCUACAAAGAGGUUUAAUUGGACUUAUAAGUCCACAUGACUAGGGAAGCUUCACAAUCAUGGCGGAAGGCAAGGAGGAGCAAGUCACAUCUUACAUGGAGGGCAGCAGGCAAAGAGAGAGCUUGUGCAGGGAGACUCAUUUUUCAAAACCAUCAGAUCUUGUGAGACUUAUUCACUAUCAUAAGAACAGUGUGGGAAUUACAAAUUACAUAGCUAUGUAGUUACAAAUUACAUAGCUAAUUACACCUGUAAUCAACUUUUGUAGCUAUGGCCAAAUAGUUUUCCCAAGUGGUUGCACCAAUUUACACUCCCACCAACAGUACAUGAUCCUGCUGGCAGCUCAAUCUACAUUCUUAUUAACUGCAUUAGUCCAUUUUCACGUUGCUGAUAAAGACAUACCUGAGACUGGGCAAUUUACAAAAGAAAGAGGUUUAAUUGGACUCACAGUGUGUGACUGGGGAAGCCUCACAAUCAUGGUGGAAGGCAAGGAGGAGCAAGUCACGUCUUAUGUGGAUGGCAGCAGGCAAAGAGAGAGCUUGUGCAGGGAGACUACCAUUUUUCAAAACCAUCAGAUCUUGUGAGACUUAUUCACUCUCAUGGAACAGCAUGGGAAAGACCUGCCCCCACAAUUCAAUUACCUCGCACCAGGUACCUCCCACAACACAUGGGAAUUCAAGAUGAGAUUUGGGUGGGGACACAGCCAAACCAUAUCAUCGACCCUUUGUUUUUCCCCAUCUUUUUCAUUUUAGCCAUUCUUUUCAUGUGUAUUAGACAUUUGGAUAGCCUCAUUUGUGAAAUGUCUCAUUUUUUCUACUAGGCUUUUCAUCUCUUUAUUGAUCUAAAACAUUUUUAAUAUAUUAGACAUAUGUAUUGCAAAUCUCUUCUUCUACUGUGGAAGUGGCUUUCAUUUCUAUUCAUUUCAGACUGUUUUAAUGCUAUCUUAUUUCUUUCUUUAUGAUUCAGCACUCUUUGUGUCCUGCUUAAGAACUCUUUGUCUAUUUCAUGUUCAUUAAAAUGUGAUUUUUUUCUACAGUCUUCAUUAUUUUUCCUUUAACAUUUAAAUUUAUAAUAAAUCUGGGUGUGAUUUUUAUACAGUGCAUUUUUCUUCCCAAGAUAUCCAGUUGUCUCAG
RNAcentral lists this long non-coding RNA (4622 nucleotides) under Homo sapiens (human). RNAcentral describes it as "HSALNT0309659". Lineage: Eukaryota; Metazoa; Chordata; Mammalia; Primates; Hominidae. The record is from RNAcentral.